GAUGAAGAACGCAGCGAAAUGCGAUAAGUAAUGCGAAUUGCAGAAUUCAGUGAGUCAUCGAAUCUUUGAACGCACAUUGCGCCCCCUGGUAUUCCGGGGGGCAUGCCUGUUCGAGCGUCAUUUCACCACUCAAGCCUCGCUUGGUAUUGGGCAACGCGGUCCGCCGCGUGCCUCAAAUCGACCGGCUGGGUCUUCUGUCCCCUAAGCGUUGUGGAAACUAUUCGCUAAAGGGUGUUCGGGAGGCUACGCCGUAAAACAACCCCAUUUCUAAGGUUGACCUCGGAUCAGGUAGGGAUACCCGCUGAACUUAAGCAUAUCAAUAAGCGGAGGA
RNAcentral lists this unclassified non-coding RNA (331 nucleotides) under soil metagenome. RNAcentral's name for it is "partial contains 5.8S ribosomal RNA, internal transcribed spacer 2, and large subunit ribosomal RNA". The stretch from base 1 to 120 matches the Rfam family "5.8S ribosomal RNA", at positions 35 to 154 of the family's 154-position model. The record is from RNAcentral.